RNAcentral lists this transfer RNA (73 nucleotides) under Bacillus subtilis. RNAcentral describes it as "tRNA-Val". It matches the Rfam family "tRNA". From Rfam's summary of the family: Transfer RNA (tRNA) molecules are approximately 80 nucleotides in length. RNAcentral also lists the same sequence under 1 other name. The record is from RNAcentral. Lineage: Bacteria; Bacillati; Bacillota; Bacilli; Caryophanales; Bacillaceae.
GGAUUAGCUCAGCUGGGAGAGCAUCUGCCUUACAAGCAGAGGGUCGGCGGUUCGAGCCCGUCAUCCUCCACCA